UUAAAAUCGAAUUUAACCUUACCUGUUUUAAAUUAUUUGAAAUUUAUCACUAUAAACUAUACAGUGUUAACUUUCUAAUAAUUAAAUUUUUAACCGUAGUAACGUUAAUUAGUUUGUUUGAAUAACUUACCUGCUGCUCGAGCUUGAUGAUGCUCAUGCUAUCCAUGCUGUGAACUUGAAUAUAAUCCGAUAUAACGUUAAAUAUAAAGGUUAACGUUAAUUAGACCGAGGCUGCCGAAAUCAUGUUCAGUGUAACGUUAUGUGGGAUUAAUAAUUUCCCCUUUUCUCCCUCAAGUGGCAGGCUUGUAAAUUCUGUCAUCUGUUCAUUAUUGGUGUUGAUGGUGUUUUUCACAUGCAUGCUUUUUAAUGCUAGUUCAAUUCUCAAAUUGAUCUGAUACUUUCGUUUCACAAAAAGUAAACAAAUUGUUCACUUUCUUAGGGCCUGACAACCACCAAUUGAGUCCAUGAUUCAGUGAGUUCCUUAUAAGGAAAUAUAUUUGUUAACGCCUAGUAAUUUAAAUGUAUUAUUUAUUGCUUUAAAAUGAGCACAUAUAUUUAUCAUCAGGGGAAAAGACAGUCUGGGCAGCAGCAACAAGACAACUAUUACAAGUAGAGAUGGGUUUCAAGAACUGGUACUAAUUUGGUUCCUGACUUGUUCGACACAACCACAUAUCCUCCAAAUCAUCUUUGCGUGGAUGGCAGCAAGGAUCCAGGAUCAAGAGAUCAUUCUUCAUGGAAGCAGUUUCUCCUGGGUCAUCCUGACCAUUCUGCUGUCCUGGAUGUAAGGCCGUGCUGGAACUACAUUUCUCGUUGUUUAAAGAUUUGUGCAGCGGUAUCCAGACAUAUAACGCCCCAUCACACGGGGCGUCAACGCCUCUCGUUUACUUUUAAAUGAAGUGACGUCAAGGAUGGUGAAAUCAAUUCUAGAAAUUAAUUCUAAAUAGAAGUUGAAGACUUCUCAAGCGACAAUGCAGCCGUCCUCCAGUCAGAACAUCUUAUGCAAAUACCCUAGCGCAGACGCAAGCCAAUCAAGUGCUUGCAAAACCAGAAAACUAAUGUGAUUGGCUGUCACUAUGAGAAGAGACAGUAAUUCUGAUCCGAUAUCAGUGUCGUUUUUUGCAAAAAAAAUUUUAAAUCAAUGUAGAAUUUUCUAUACUUCUGUGUAGGGAUGUCAAUUUUCAAUCAUUUCCAUGAUCGAUCGUCGUUUAAAUUAACAAUCAAAUAAUCGAUUAAUUGUUAACCUUAAUGCUGCAAAGUCUAUUGCAGUAACAUCCAGUCACUGGUAUGACAGGAUGUGCAAAAGUGUG
Long non-coding RNA from Carassius gibelio (silver crucian carp), 1307 nucleotides. RefSeq lists it as uncharacterized. The transcript has 3 exons. The record is from RefSeq and is a predicted model, not a curated record. NCBI's taxonomy places the organism in Eukaryota, Metazoa, Chordata, Actinopteri, Cypriniformes, Cyprinidae.